CUUCCGCGGCUCUUGACGUUAUGACGCUACUGCGUCAAAAGGAGGGGCAUCUGCUUCUGGAGGGAGGUUGACCCAUCCCGGGAACUGAAACCUUGCAAAGCAAAACCAAGCUAAAACCCUCCACAAGGGGGGGGGACCGCUGCGUUUGUUCACCGCUCUAGUCCAGUUCCCAGCAAACACAAGCAUCCGGAUGCAAUGCUUUUGCUGUAUUUGUGAGUUAAAUUCAAGCAAGCUCUUACCAAGAAAGCAAGCUGUGUCAGUAUAGAGGCUGGACAAAGAAGAAAGUAAUGAGCUAUGAAAAAGUCCUGAAUGAAGACUUUAGAAGAAUUUCAAAGGAUGAGAAGUGUCCAGUUAUAGGAAGGAUAAGGUCUGAGCUGGUGGAGAAGUGAACCUAGCAACCUGGUGUUCCAGAAGAAGGGACUUUUGCCCAGAGUCAUACCUUUGUCAAAUAUACACAAGACAGGUCAGCUGUCUUCUGUUUACCAGUGGACCACAAAAUAAUCCAUCAAAAGACAGGUGUAGUAUAAGAUGGAAACCAAAGCUUAUCACCACACCUCCAAUCCAGUCUGCCUCCAGAAGUAUAACUAAGACUUAAAGACCUUAGGAAAACAGUGGCGAAAGGGCCAGGACAGAAAGGAGCAGGAGGAAGCCACUUUAAGGAGUGGAGUGAUAGAUACAGUCUGGCUGGAGCUUUAAGAAGGUCACACUGGCAGAAACAGCCUAUGAAAAAAUGCUCGUUGAGUAUGCAAUUUACCAAAAAGCCACUCACAUCAUUGAUGGCACGGAUGUAGUUCUGAUGUGAAUGCCAGCGGAUACUUUUGUUUACAUUAAUGAAUAAAACAGCGAAACAACAGAAACAUAUGUUAGCACAUGACUCACUCGUCAGUGACAUGAGGAUCACUUCCUGGUGGAUGACAGUUUUGAAUACUAGAAGAGACAACAUGCCUCCCGGCUCCACCACUGGCACCACCACCACCACCUCUGACGCGAGAGAAGAAAUGUCUCUGGAAGUACCCCUCUCCAGCGCCGUCAUUUUGAGCACCUUCCUGCAAGAGCAUAGCCCAGAAAUUCUGGACCUUCCUGGCAUGACCGAUCUCAUGGAGUUCCUAUGUCCUGGGCCCUCCCCUAACAGCAACAAACCCGACGACAUGGCCAUGUGGCAGCCUUCAUCGGGGACAAGAUGGAAGUCAGGUGGAUGCUGUCCCACAUCGGCGAGCUGCCCGGGCUGGCCAGGAGAAAUGAAUUCAUCAUACCUCUGGGGUCGUUACUGGUUAACUGCCGGCACCAAGGCCUCGCUGGGCCUGCUCUCCUGGCCCCGCAUCGUACAUGCGGUGGCCCGUCCCGGGAAGGAGCCUUCCCCUCCCAGAUGGGCCAUAGGUGGGCAUCGGGGGAGUGCUGGCCGCACCCCCAUGUCUGUGAUGCCCAUGGCAAAGAGAAAAUCUGCUGGGAUAGAUUUCUGAGAGGUAGGAGAGCUCAAUAAAAUGUUGGUUUCAAAAACAAA
Molecule: RNA transcript, 1501 nt
Organism: Acinonyx jubatus (cheetah)
Lineage: Eukaryota; Metazoa; Chordata; Mammalia; Carnivora; Felidae
Exons: 8
Source: RefSeq, a predicted model, not a curated record